AACGAACGCUGGCGGCAUGCCUAACACAUGCAAGUCGAACGAGACCUUCGGGUCUAGUGGCGCACGGGUGCGUAACGCGUGGGAACCUGCCCUUAGGUUCGGAAUAACUCACCGAAGGGGGUGCUAAUACCGGAUAAUGUCUUCGGACCAAAGAUUUAUCGCCGUGGGAUGGGCCCGGGUUGGAUUAGCUAGUUGGUAGGGUAAAAGCCUACCAUGGCUACGAUGCAUAGCUGGUGUGAGAAGAUGCCACGCCACACUGGGACUGAGACACGGCCCAGACUCCUACGGGACGGAGCAGUGGGGAAUAUUGGACACUGGGCGAAAGCGUGAUCCAGCAAUGCCGCGUGAGUGAUGAAGGCCGUAGGGUUGUAAAGCUCUUUUACCCGGGAUGAUAAUGACAGUACCGUGAGAAUAAGCUCCGGCUAACUCCGUG
Molecule: ribosomal RNA, 433 nt
Filed under: uncultured bacterium
Lineage: Bacteria
Description: partial 16S ribosomal RNA
Rfam family: Bacterial small subunit ribosomal RNA
Source: RNAcentral